UAUUGCACUUGUCCCGGCCUGU
RNAcentral lists this non-coding RNA (22 nucleotides) under Petromyzon marinus (sea lamprey). RNAcentral also lists the same sequence under 72 other names. The record is from RNAcentral. Lineage: Eukaryota; Metazoa; Chordata; Hyperoartia; Petromyzontiformes; Petromyzontidae.